This 301-nucleotide ribosomal RNA is filed under the name uncultured bacterium. RNAcentral's name for it is "partial 16S ribosomal RNA". It matches the Rfam family "Bacterial small subunit ribosomal RNA", at positions 509 to 807 of the family's 1533-position model. The record is from RNAcentral.
CAGUCGCCACGGGAAUACGUAGGGUGCGAGCGUUAAUCGGAAUUACUGGGCGUAAAGCGUGCGUAGGUGGUGGUUUAAGUCCGUUGUGAAAGCCCUGGGCUCAACCUGGGAAUUGCAGUGGAUACUGGGUCACUAGAGUGUGGUAGAGGAUAGUGGAAUUUCCGGUAUAGCAGUGAAAUGCGUAGAGAUCGGAAGGAACAUCUGUGGCGAAGGCGACUAUCUGGGCCAACACUGACACUGAGGCACGAAAGCGUGGGGAGCAAACAGGAUUAGAUACCCCAGUAGUCCCUGUCUCUUAUAC